Molecule: transfer RNA, 71 nt
Filed under: Camelus bactrianus (Bactrian camel)
Lineage: Eukaryota; Metazoa; Chordata; Mammalia; Artiodactyla; Camelidae
Also listed under: 2 other names
Rfam family: tRNA
About the family: Transfer RNA (tRNA) molecules are approximately 80 nucleotides in length. Their secondary structure includes four short double-helical elements and three loops (D, anti-codon, and T loops). Further hydrogen bonds mediate the characteristic L-shaped molecular structure. tRNAs have two regions of fundamental functional importance: the anti-codon, which is responsible for specific mRNA codon recognition, and the 3' end, to which the tRNAs corresponding amino acid is attached (by aminoacyl-tRNA synthetases). tRNAs cope with the degeneracy of the genetic code in two manners: having more than one tRNA (with a specific anti-codon) for a particular amino acid; and 'wobble' base-pairing, i.e. permitting non-standard base-pairing at the 3rd anti-codon position.
Source: Rfam by way of RNAcentral
GAGGGUAUGGCUCAGUGGUGGAGCACGUGCUUAGCAUGCACAAGGUCCUGGGUUCAAUCCCCAGCACAUCA